This 468-nucleotide ribosomal RNA is filed under the name uncultured bacterium. RNAcentral describes it as "partial 16S ribosomal RNA". It matches the Rfam family "Bacterial small subunit ribosomal RNA", at positions 28 to 507 of the family's 1533-position model. The record is from RNAcentral.
GACGAACGCUGGCGGCGUGCUUAACACAUGCAAGUCGAACGGAAAGGCCCUGCUUUUGUGGGGUGCUCGAGUGGCGAACGGGUGAGUAACACGUGAGUAACCUGCCCUUGACUUUGGGAUAACUUCAGGAAACUGGGGCUAAUACCGGAUAGGAGCUCCUGCUGCAUGGUGGGGGUUGGAAAGUUUCGGCGGUUGGGGAUGGACUGGCGGGUUAUCAGCUUGUUGGUGGGGUAGUGGCUUACCAAGGCUUAGACGGGUAGUCGGCAUGAGAGGGUGACCGGCGACAUUGGGACUGAGAGACGGACCAGACUCCAACGGGAGGCAGCAGUGGGGAAUAUGGCACAGUGGGCGGGAGCCUGAGGCGGCAACGCCGCGGGCGUGAUGACGGCCUUCGGGUUGUAAACCGCUUUCGCCUGUGACGAAGCGUGAGUGACGGUAAUGGGUAAAGAAGCACCGGCUAACUACGUG